UUUAUCGGAGAGUUUGAUCCUGGCUCAGGACGAACGCUGGCGGCGUGCCUAAUACAUGCAAGUCGAGCGGAUUGAUGGGAGCUUGCUCCCAUCAAUCAGCGGCGGACGGGUGAGUAACACGUGGGUAACCUGCCUGUAAGACUGGGAUAACUCCGGGAAACCGGGGCUAAUACCGGAUAACUCAUU
This 186-nucleotide ribosomal RNA is filed under the name Bacillus sp. CH30_1T. RNAcentral describes it as "partial 16S ribosomal RNA". It matches the Rfam family "Bacterial small subunit ribosomal RNA", at positions 1 to 182 of the family's 1533-position model. The record is from RNAcentral. Lineage: Bacteria; Bacillati; Bacillota; Bacilli; Caryophanales; Bacillaceae.